RNAcentral lists this ribosomal RNA (468 nucleotides) under uncultured bacterium. RNAcentral's name for it is "partial 16S ribosomal RNA". It matches the Rfam family "Bacterial small subunit ribosomal RNA", at positions 28 to 507 of the family's 1533-position model. The record is from RNAcentral.
GACGAACGCUGGCGGCGUGCUUAACACAUGCAAGUCGAACGGACAGGCCCUGCUCUUGCGGGUUGCUCGUGUGGCGAACGGGUGUGUAACACGUGAGUAAACUCCCCCUGACUUUGGGGUAAAUUCUGGAAACUGGGGCUCAUACCGCAUAGGAGCUCCUGCUGCACGGUGGUGGUUGGAAAGUUUCGGUGGUUGGGGAUGGACUCGCGGCUUAUCCGCUUGUUGGUGUGGUAGUUGCUUACCAAGGCUUUGACGGGUAGCCGGCCUGAGAGGUUGACCGGCCACAAUGGGACUGAGAUACGGCCCAGACGCCUAUGGGAGGCAGCAGUGGGGAAUAUUGCACAAUGGCCGGAAGUCUGAGGCAGCAACGUCGCGUGCGGGAUAACGGGCUUCGGGGUGUAAACCGAUUUCGAAUGUGACGUAGCGUGAGUGACGGUAAUGGGUAAAGAAGCACCGGCUAACUACGUG